GACGAACGCUGGCGGCGUGCCUAAUACAUGCAAGUAGAACGCUGAAGAGAGGAGCUUACUCUUCUUGGAUGAGUUGCGAACGGGUGAGUAACGCGUAGGUAACCUGCCUUGUAGCGGGGGAUAACUAUUGGAAACGAUAGCUAAUACCGCAUAACAAUGGAUGACACAUGUCAUUUAUUUGAAAGGGGCAAUUGCUCCACUACAAGAUGGACCUGCGUUGUAUUAGCUAGUAGGUGAGGUAAUGGCUCACCUAGGCGACGAUACAUAGCCGACCUGAGAGGGUGAUCGGCCACACUGGGACUGAGACACGGCCCAGACUCCUACGGGAGGCAGCAGUAGGGAAUCUUCGGCAAUGGGGGCAACCCUGACCGAGCGACGCCGCGUGAGUGAAGAAGGUUUUCGGAUCGUAAAGCUCUGUUGUAAGUCAAGAACGGGUGUGAGAGUGGAAAGUUCACACUGUGACGGUAGCUUACCAGAAAGGGACGGCUAACUACGUG
This 497-nucleotide ribosomal RNA is filed under the name uncultured bacterium. Its description in RNAcentral is "partial 16S ribosomal RNA". It matches the Rfam family "Bacterial small subunit ribosomal RNA", at positions 28 to 507 of the family's 1533-position model. The record is from RNAcentral.